Molecule: ribosomal RNA, 1410 nt
Filed under: Levilactobacillus parabrevis ATCC 53295
Lineage: Bacteria; Bacillati; Bacillota; Bacilli; Lactobacillales; Lactobacillaceae
Description: bacterial LSU rRNA
Rfam family: Bacterial large subunit ribosomal RNA
Source: RNAcentral
AUGUGUGUUCAAGCGUCAAGUCUGGUGAUGAGUUAAAUGCUUAUCGCUAAGGACAAGGCGUGACGAGGACCGAAUUUUAGUAGGGAAGCGCCAGAUGUCACACUGCCGAGAAAAGCUUCUAGUUAGUGAUUAAUUACCCGUACCGCAAACCGACACAGGUAGUCGAGGAGAGUAUCCUAAGGUGAGCGAGUGAACUCUCGUUAAGGAACUCGGCAAAAUGACCCCGUAACUUCGGGAGAAGGGGUGCUACACGCAAGUGUAGCCGCAGUGAAAAGGCCCAGGCGACUGUUUAUCAAAAACACAGGUUUCUGCAAAAUCGCAAGAUGACGUAUAGGGGCUGACGCCUGCCCGGUGCUGGAAGGUUAAGUGGAUGAGUUAGCUUCGGCGAAGCCCAGAAAUGAAGCCCCAGUAAACGGCGGCCGUAACUAUAACGGUCCUAAGGUAGCGAAAUUCCUUGUCGGGUAAGUUCCGACCCGCACGAAAGGCGUAACGAUCUGGGCACUGUCUCAACGAGAGACUCGGUGAAAUUAUAUUACCUGUGAAGAUGCAGGUUACCCGCGACAGGACGGAAAGACCCCAUGGAGCUUUACUGUAGCUUGAUAUUGGGUGUUGACACAGCUUGUACAGGAUAGGUCGGAGCCGUAGAACUCGGAACGCUAGUUUCGAGUGAGGCGCUGGUGGGAUACGACCCUCGCUGUGUGAACACUCUAACCCGCACCACUAAUCGUGGUGGGAGACAGUGUCAGGUAGGCAGUUUGACUGGGGCGGUCGCCUCCUAAAAAGUAACGGAGGCGCCCAAAGGUUCUCUCAGAAUGGUUGGAAAUCAUUCGUCGAGUGUAAAGGCAGAAGAGAGCUUGACUGCGAGACAGACAGGUCGAGCAGGGACGAAAGUCGGGCUUAGUGAUCCGGUGGUACCGUAUGGAAGGGCCAUCGCUCAACGGAUAAAAGCUACCCUGGGGAUAACAGGCUUAUCUCCCCCAAGAGUCCACAUCGACGGGGAGGUUUGGCACCUCGAUGUCGGCUCAUCGCAUCCUGGGGCUGUAGUCGGUCCCAAGGGUUGGGCUGUUCGCCCAUUAAAGCGGUACGCGAGCUGGGUUCAGAACGUCGUGAGACAGUUCGGUCCCUAUCCGUCGCGGGCGUAGGAAAUUUGAGAGGAGCUGUCCUUAGUACGAGAGGACCGGGAUGGACAUACCGCUGGUGUACCAGUUGUGCCGCCAGGCGCAUCGCUGGGUAGCUAUGUAUGGAUGAGAUAAACGCUGAAAGCAUCUAAGUGUGAAACUCGCCUCGAGAUGAGAUUUCCCAUUCCUAUAUGGAAGUAAGACCCCUGAAAGAUGAUCAGGUAGAUAGGCUGGAAGUAGCAGCGCCGUGAGGCGUGGAGCGGACCAGUACUAAUCGGUCGAGGACUUAACC